Molecule: ribosomal RNA, 497 nt
Filed under: uncultured bacterium
Lineage: Bacteria
Description: partial 16S ribosomal RNA
Rfam family: Bacterial small subunit ribosomal RNA
Source: RNAcentral
GAUGAACGCUGGCGGCGUGCCUAAUACAUGCCAGUCGAGCGAACGGACGAGAAGCUUGCUUCUCUGAUGUUAGCGGCGGACGGGUGAGUAACACGUGGAUAACCUACCUAUAAGACUGGGAUAACUUCGGGAAACCGGAGCUAAUACCGGAUAAUAUUUUGAACCGCAUGGUUCAAAAGUGAAAGACGGUCUUGCUGUCACUUAUAGAUGGAUCCGCGCUGCAUUAUCUAGUUGGUAAGGUAACGGCUUACCAAGGCAACGAUGCAUAGCCGACCUGAGAGGGUGAUCGGCCACACUGGAACUGAGACACGGUCCAGACUCCUACGGGAGGCAGCAGUAGGGAAUCUUCCGCAAUGGGCGAAAGCCUGACGGAGCAACGCCGCGUGAGUGAUGAAGGUCUUCGGAUCGUAAAACUCUGUUAUUAGGGAAGAACAUAUGUGUAAGUAACUGUGCACAUCUUGACGGUACCUAAUCAGAAAGCCACGGCUAACUACGUG